CCCUUAGAUGUUCUGGGCCGCACGCGCGCUACACUGAUGCAUUCAACGAGUCUAAAACCUGCUCUGAUAGGGGUGGGUAAUCGUUUGAAUGUGCAUCGUGAUUGGGAUAGAUGAUUGCAAUUUUUCAUCUUCAACGAGGAAUGCCUAGUAAACGCAAGUCAUCAGCUUGCAUUGAUUACGUCCCUGCCCUUUGUACACACCGCCCGUCGCUCCUACCGAUUGAAUGAUCCGAUGAAUAUCAUGGAUUGAGGAUGCAAGUAGGUUCGCCUAUCUUCAUCUUCGAGAAGUGAAGUAAAUCUUAUCAUUUAGAGGAAGGAGAAGUCGUAACA
Molecule: ribosomal RNA, 329 nt
Filed under: uncultured eukaryote
Lineage: Eukaryota
Description: partial 18S ribosomal RNA
Rfam family: Eukaryotic small subunit ribosomal RNA
Source: RNAcentral